Molecule: long non-coding RNA, 627 nt
Filed under: Homo sapiens (human)
Lineage: Eukaryota; Metazoa; Chordata; Mammalia; Primates; Hominidae
Description: non-protein coding lnc-NFS1-2:2
Source: RNAcentral
AUUUUGUGAAGCGGCGAAGGAGGUGGUGGCUGCGUUGGGCUCCGGGAAGCCGUUCGGGCUGGGGCUGUCGGCCGCGGGGCGGAGGCACUCGCGCGGGGGGUAAUUCGGGGUCUGGGUUCUGGUGCCGCGCAGCUUUCCCCGGUAAGACUCCCGCAGCCCCUGAACGGGUGGGGCUGUGCGGGGCUCGUGGUGCCCCUUGGUGGCCCGGGGCGGGGCCUUCGGAGGCCUUCGAGCCCGCGGCAACUAGCGCCCCACACAAAGGGUCGAGGCAGGGCUGCAGGGGGAGUGGGAUGCCACUUAGGCCUCUGAGAUCUGAGAGGAUGCAAGGAGGACGCAAGAGGAUGAGCCUGCGUACCGAAGUGGGGACGAGGCCAUAGCGAGGACUCCCCCGUGGUCUGAGAGGGGGCAGGCCAGAGCUGGCUGGCUCAGCGGCCUGCGAGCUAACGGGGACUGCAGUAAAAACACGCCUACAUCCCGAGUACGGAGGAUUUCUUGUCUCCCCCAGUGAAGCAGAGGUUAUAACUACAUCUCUGUGCCUGGAGUCUAAAAGUUGGUUUUAAUUGGUUGCCCACAGGAUUGACUUGGCCUCUACUUCUUGUUAAGGAAAUUCAUCUCUUGUUUUAUCAG